AAAUGAAUUGACGGGGACCCGCACAAGCAGUGGAGUAUGUGGAUUAAUUCGAUGCAACGCGAAGAACCUUACCAAGGCUUGACAUCCUACUGACGAAGUAGAGAUACAUUAGGUGCCCUUAUGGGAAAGUAGAGACAGGUGGUGCAUGGUUGUCGUCAGCUCGUGUCGUGAGAUGUUGGGUUAAGUCCCGCAACGAGCGCAACCCUUGUGGUUAGUUGCUACGCAAGAGCACUCUAACCAGACUGCCGUUGACAAAACGGAGGAAGGUGGGGACGACGUCAAAUCAUCAUGCCCUUUAUGUCUUGGGCCUCACACGUACUACAAUGGCGAGGAACAGAGGGAAGCGAGCCCGCGAGGGUAAGCGGAUCCCGAAAAGUCGCCUCAGUUCAGAUUGCAGGCUGCAACCCGCCUGCAUGAAGUCGGAAUUGCUAGUAAUCGCAGAUCAGCAUGCUGCGGUGAAUACGUUCCCGGGUCUUGUACACACCGCCCGU
This 491-nucleotide ribosomal RNA is filed under the name uncultured bacterium. RNAcentral describes it as "bacterial SSU rRNA". It matches the Rfam family "Bacterial small subunit ribosomal RNA", at positions 903 to 1397 of the family's 1533-position model. The record is from RNAcentral.